GUGAAGUAGGUGGGGCUGUUUCACAGACUCUGCUUCUCUUUGGGAUUCAGCAUCGAUGCCUGGCUCACAGGAAGGUGGGACUCAGGGGUUGCCGCUGGCACUGUUGACCCCAAGAACACGGUGGCUGCAAUACCACAGCAUUUGGUCAGACAACUGGGAACAUCUGCCUGCAUGCUGGGACAUGCAGGACCCACUGCCACCUCAACUGACUCCUGACGCCCGUGAAGCUGGAGAUUGGACGUCGGUGGCCCCAUGGCCUUGCUUUCCAACAGAAAACACACAAAACCUGUAGGAACUUGGCUUCUGUCUCACUUUUGCCUUCCAAACUCUGUGCUGCUAUGUCUAACUAGGAUGGCCUGACGGACACUCAUGACCCUCAUGAUAUUAUGGACUGCAAAAUCUUUACAACUGGAACAACGUUCUCCAUUUUGCAUCUGAUUCCAAAACAGAGUCCCAGCCAAGCACAGCUUUUUGUUUUAUCUACGCAUCUUCCAAGGUCUCCUUUGGC
Bos taurus (domestic cattle) is the source of this 508-nucleotide long non-coding RNA. The record is from Ensembl. Lineage: Eukaryota; Metazoa; Chordata; Mammalia; Artiodactyla; Bovidae.